RNAcentral lists this ribosomal RNA (1437 nucleotides) under uncultured organism. RNAcentral's name for it is "16S ribosomal RNA". It matches the Rfam family "Bacterial small subunit ribosomal RNA". The record is from RNAcentral.
GCUCAGGACGAACGCUGGCGGCGCGCCUAACACAUGCAAGUCGAGGGGCAGCAUCAUCAAAGCUUGCUUUGAUGGAUGGCGACCGGCGCACGGGUGAGUAACACGUAUCCAACCUGCCGACAACACUGGGAUAGCCUUUCGAAAGAAAGAUUAAUACCGGAUGGCAUAGUCUUCCCGCAUGGGAUGACUAUUAAAGAAUUUCGGUUGUCGAUGGGGAUGCGUUCCAUUAGGUAGUUGGCGGGGUAACGGCCCACCAAAACUACGAUGGAUAGGGGUUCUGAGAGGAAGGUCCCCCACAUUGGAACUGAGACACGGUCCAAACUCCUACGGGAGGCAGCAGUGAGGAAUAUUGGUCAAUGGACGAGAGUCUGAACCAGCCAAGUAGCGUGAAGGAUGACUGCCCUAUGGGUUGUAAACUUCUUUUAUAUGGGAAUAAAGUAUUCCACGUGUGGAAUUUUGUAUGUACCAUAUGAAUAAGGAUCGGCUAACUCCGUGCCAGCAGCCGCGGUAAUACGGAGGAUCCGAGCGUUAUCCGGAUUUAUUGGGUUUAAAGGGAGCGUAGGUGGAUUGUUAAGUCAGUUGUGAAAGUUUGCGGCUCAACCGUAAAAUUGCAGUUGAAACUGGCAGUCUUGAGUACAGUAGAGGUGGGCGGAAUUCGUGGUGUAGCGGUGAAAUGCUUAGAUAUCACGAAGAACUCCGAUUGCGAAGGCAGCUCACUAGACUGCAACUGACACUGAUGCUCGAAAGUGUGGGUAUCAAACAGGAUUAGAUACCCUGGUAGUCCACACAGUAAACGAUGAAUACUCGCUGUUUGCGAUAUACAGUAAGCAGCCAAGCGAAAGCAUUAAGUAUUCCACCUGGGGAGUACGCCGGCAACGGUGAAACUCAAAGGAAUUGACGGGGGCCCGCACAAGCGGAGGAACAUGUGGUUUAAUUCGAUGAUACGCGAGGAACCUUACCCGGGCUUAAAUUGCAUUUGAAUAAUCUGGAAACAGGUUAGCCGCAAGGCAAAUGUGAAGGCGCUGCAUGGUUGUCGUCAGCUCGUGCCGUGAGGUGUCGGCUUAAGUGCCAUAACGAGCGCAACCCUUAUCUUUAGUUACUAACAGGUCAUGCUGAGGACUCUAGAGAGACUGCCGUCGUAAGAUGUGAGGAAGGUGGGGAUGACGUCAAAUCAGCACGGCCCUUACGUCCGGGGCUACACACGUGUUACAAUGGGGGGUACAGAAGGCAGCUACCUGGCGACAGGAUGCUAAUCCCAAAAACCUCUCUCAGUUCGGAUCGAAGUCUGCAACCCGACUUCGUGAAGCUGGAUUCGCUAGUAAUCGCGCAUCAGCCAUGGCGCGGUGAAUACGUUCCCGGGCCUUGUACACACCGCCCGUCAAGCCAUGGGAGCCGGGGGUACCUGAAGUGCGUAACCGCGAGGAGCGCCCUAGGGUA